RNAcentral lists this ribosomal RNA (497 nucleotides) under uncultured bacterium. RNAcentral describes it as "partial 16S ribosomal RNA". It matches the Rfam family "Bacterial small subunit ribosomal RNA", at positions 28 to 507 of the family's 1533-position model. The record is from RNAcentral.
GAUGAACGCUGGCGGCGUGCCUAAUACAUGCAAGUAGAACGCUGAAGCUUGGUGCUUGCACCGAGCGGAUGAGUUGCGAACGGGUGAGUAACGCGUAGGUAACCCGCCUCUUAGCGGGGGAUAACUAUUGGAAACGAUAGCUAAUACCGCAUAAAAGUCGAUAUCGCAUGAUAUUGAUUUGAAAGGUGCAAAUGCAUCACUAAGAGAUGGACCUGCGUUGUAUUAGCUAGUUGGUGAGGUAACGGCUCACCAAGGCGACGAUACAUAGCCGACCUGAGAGGGUGAUCGGCCACACUGGGACUGAGACACGGCCCAGACUCCUACGGGAGGCAGCAGUAGGGAAUCUUCGGCAAUGGGGGCAACCCUGACCGAGCAACGCCGCGUGAGUGAAGAAGGUUUUCGGAUCGUAAAGCUCUGUUGUAAGAGAAGAACGAGUGUGAGAGUGGAAAGUUCACACUGUGACGGUAACUUACCAGAAAGGGACGGCUAACUACGUG